This 465-nucleotide ribosomal RNA is filed under the name Lancefieldella rimae. RNAcentral describes it as "bacterial SSU rRNA". It matches the Rfam family "Bacterial small subunit ribosomal RNA", at positions 28 to 504 of the family's 1533-position model. Lineage: Bacteria; Bacillati; Actinomycetota; Coriobacteriia; Coriobacteriales; Atopobiaceae. The record is from RNAcentral.
GAUGAACGCUGGCGGCGCGCCUAACACAUGCAAGUCGAACGGUUAAAGCACCUUUUAGGUGUGUAUAAAGUGGCGAACGGCUGAGUAACACGUGGGCAACCUGCCCUCCUCUUGGGGAUAGCCUCGGGAAACCGAGGAUAAUACCCGAUACUUCAAUGUGGCCGCAUGACGACAUUGAGAAAGCUUUUGCGGAGAAGGAUGGGCCCGCGGCCUGUUAGCUUGUUGGUGGGGUAGAGGCCUACCAAGGCAAUGAUGGGUAGCUGGGUUGAGAGACCGACCAGCCAGAUUGGGACUGAGACACGGCCCAGACUCCUACGGGAGGCAGCAGUGGGGAAUCUUGCACAAUGGGCGAAAGCCUGAUGCAGCGACGCCGCGUGCGGGACGAAGGCCUUUCGGGUUGUAAACCGCUUUUCAGCAGGGACGAGGCGAAAGUGACGGUACCUGCAGAAGACCCCGGCUAACUAC